RNAcentral lists this long non-coding RNA (212 nucleotides) under Ananas comosus (pineapple). RNAcentral describes it as "long non-coding RNA (ACOM_LNC034277)". Lineage: Eukaryota; Viridiplantae; Streptophyta; Magnoliopsida; Poales; Bromeliaceae. The record is from RNAcentral.
AGACAUCAGCGUUUGCGCAGAAAAGUUUGAUGGUUGUUCCGGUACAACCAUCACGGCUGUACCGGUACAAGCCCUGUUCCGGAACAAGCUGCAGCCUGUUCAGGGUACAGAAGCUUCGCAGAAAAAUCUUCCGUCAUGCUGUACCCUGGACAGCUUUCCUUGUUCCGGUACAAGGUGCUGAUUUUGGAAAGAAACUUUCUAAUCCUACUCCG